UUAGUUAAGGCUUGUUUACAGUUCGGAAAAUUUGCCACGGGAUUUGCGCGCGGGAUUUGGCACGGGAAUCAACACGGGAAAUUUUUCCGCCGACUGUUCUCCUCAUCUCUCCACAAAUAACUUUGACGUUUGUUUACGUGUUUACAUCGGUCCCAGAAAAAAUGUUUUCUCUAAUCGGUCCAGAAUGUUUUUCGUUUUUUUGGUGCUGCAAUUGAUCAUUCGUCGUUCAAUAGUUAUUCAAAAGUGUGCCAUCCGCCUUCUGCAUCUUAAGUUACUGCUGCUCAAACCACCAAAACCCGCACCUGACCGUCCGGAACUGCGGCAUGCUGAAUAAUUCGAUUGAAAGCGGUCGCCAAAAAUGCUUCGUCCCAGGAGGACAAGGGAAAGUAACGGCACAGCUCGGCUUGUGCUCAGCGGAUCGCUGAAAUAAAUAAACAUCGAUCAACUCUGGGUCAUCGAGCAGCGGCGCACCAAGGCUUCGCUCCAAAAGGCUUGUUUUUACGUUCCCGAAGACGCAAUUGCAUUGCCGGAUACGCCCAUUGGGGGUCCGCAUCUACUACACUACUUUUCUGUCGGAUCCACCCUUGGAGCACGGAAAACAGCGAACAUUGGACGACGCAAGCAGAACCAUUGCUCGGAGACUACACGGCGUCAGAACCACGGAAGGUGUUAGUUCAAUUUCUAAAGCAGUCCGCAACAAAAUUUCUAGAGGAAUUGCUUUAAUUUAAACUUUAAUUACUUCCAUCGGUUUCGGAUCCAAGAUCGGCGCCGGCAGACUACGUGACGGGUAGCACAGAUGGCUGCCCACGAUAUGACGACGGCGCACCAUGAUUCGAGCAAGCUCCAACGGUCGCUGUCGUUUCGUUCCAACGGUAUCCCGAAACGUCCCGAAACGCAUGGAAUUUCACUGGUGCGUGUGAAACCGGCUUUCGACCGACUCAAUUGACGACAUUAUCGAAUUGAUUAAAUGCCCCUCCAAACGGCGGACUAUUUUGCACGAUGCCCUGAACAAAAUGAUAUCCAGGAAACCCGCUGACAAAGCUGUCGAAAAAAAGUUGACUGAAAAAUAUUGACGAGUUUCAACGGGACUACGAUGUGACCAUGCCCAACCGGUUCGAAUAUGCAGGCCGAUAGUAUGCACAACAAGGACACGGGAUGUUCCCCAGCGGAACUAGCUUUUUAUAUGGAACUAGCAUCGCGACAAAACGAUCCAGAUGCUCUAUAAAUCGACUUGUGAUGCCGCCGUCUUCGAGUGAUAUAAAAAAGAUUCACCCCUGCAUCAAAUACACCAUGUUCAGGACUCUGAUGGACUGGUGGUAUUCUACGGGCACGAGAUCUGGAAUAUGCUCAAGGAAGAUAGCAAGUGUCCGAGCAUCGGGUGCUUAGAACCAUCUUUGGCGGUGUGCAGGAGAACGAUGUGUGGCGGCGAAGGAUGAGCCACGAGCUCACUGCACUCUACGGCGAAUCUAGCAUCCGGAAGGUGGCAAAAGCUGGAAUGAAACGAUGGGCAGGGCAUGUUUUGAGAAUGCCGGACAACAAGCCUACAAAGCUGGUUCGCAAGAGAUCCGUAUAGUACAAGGAGACCUGGAGGGUAGCAUGCAAGAUCAGGUGCAGAACGAUCUGGCUAAUGUAGAACGCGGCCGAUGAUUGAGCAAAUGUGUGCAAAUCGAGUGUUGUGGCGAGGAAUUGUUGAAUCAGUUUUAUUGUAAUAUGUAAUACUAAACAAAUAAAGGAAUGCUAUGAAAAAUGACCAAAACUGCUGUAACUCCUCAACGAACUUUUUCAGAAAGGCCUU
This is a long non-coding RNA of Aedes albopictus (Asian tiger mosquito), 1795 nucleotides long. RefSeq lists it as uncharacterized. NCBI's taxonomy places the organism in Eukaryota, Metazoa, Arthropoda, Insecta, Diptera, Culicidae. The record is from RefSeq and is a predicted model, not a curated record. The transcript has 4 exons.